Molecule: ribosomal RNA, 1091 nt
Filed under: Rhynchostegium conostomum
Lineage: Eukaryota; Viridiplantae; Streptophyta; Bryopsida; Hypnales; Brachytheciaceae
Description: eukaryotic LSU rRNA
Rfam family: Eukaryotic large subunit ribosomal RNA
Source: RNAcentral
CUAAGCGGAGGAGAAGAAACUAACCAGGAUUUCCCUAGUAACGGCGAGCGAACCGGAAAGAGCCCAGCUUGAAAAUCGUGGUGCCUCUCAUCUCGAAUUGUAGUCUGGAGAAGGUCCCUCUGCGACGCGCCGGACCCAAGUUCCCUGGAAAGGGACGUCAUCGAGGGUGACAACCCCGUCCGCGCCCGGAACGCGUCGCUCCACGAGGACCUGUCUGCGAGUCGGGCUGUUUGGGAAUGCAGCCCUAAGCGGGAGGUAAAUUCCUUCCAAGGCUAAAUAUGGGCAAGAGACCGAUAGCGAACAAGUACCGCGAGGGAAAGAUGAAAAGGACUUUGAAAAGAGAGUUAAAAAGUGCUUGAAAUUGCUGGGAGGGAAGCGAAUGGAAGCUGCGGGUGCGCCCCGGUUGGAUGUGGAACGGCUUCGGCUGGUCCGCCGCUCAACGCGGGGCGCUGGUCAGCGUGGGCCACGGCGCCGGGACAAGAGCGGGGAUUCGCUUCCCGCCUAUGCCGGUGCGGUGGCCGAGGCACGAAGCGCGCGCCGCAAGGCGUGGGUUCGCCCAACUGCGCGCUCGGGACGCUGGCGUAUUGAGCUCUUCAUCCGACCCGUCUUGAAACACGGACCAAGGAGUCUAACAUGUAUGCGAGCCGGUGGGCGGCAAACCCAUUGAGGCGCAAGUAAACUGACAGGUGGGACCCCGACCGUGAGGGAGGGAGCACCAUCGACCGACCGUGAUCUUCUGUGAAAGGUUUGAGUGUGAGCAUACCUGUUGGGACCCGAAAGAUGGUGAACUAUGCCUGAGCAGGGCGAAGCCAGAGGAAACUCUGGUGGAGGCUCGUAGCGAUACUGACGUGCAAAUCGUUCGUCAGACUUGGGUAUAGGGGCGAAAGACUAAUCGAACCAUCUAGUAGCUGGUUCCCUCCGAAGUUUCCCUCAGGAUAGCUGGAGCUCGUGUACAAGUUUUAUCAGGUAAAGCGAAUGAUUAGAGGCAUCGGGGGUGUAACACCCUCGACCUAUUCUCAAACUUUAAAUAGGUAAGCCGCCGGGGUUGCUUGGUUGAACCCCGGCACAGAAUGAGAGCUCCAAGUGGGCCA